This is a long non-coding RNA of Eucalyptus grandis, 74 nucleotides long. RefSeq lists it as uncharacterized. The transcript has 3 exons. NCBI's taxonomy places the organism in Eukaryota, Viridiplantae, Streptophyta, Magnoliopsida, Myrtales, Myrtaceae. The record is from RefSeq and is a predicted model, not a curated record.
AAAAGCCCAAAUGUCGCAUUCUAUGUAGCCAACUGACCAAUUGCAUCAUAUUCAUUGUCCACUCAGACAUCAUC